AAAAGUCAAGCUUUCCAUAAAGAAACCAAGAAAAUUCCACCAAAGCAUUUAUUGGGCAGCUGGGAAAGUUGGCAUUUAUUGGGCAGCUUAGGCAAUUGGGAGCAGCUAAGAGAGGUGUGUUUCACCGGCCAAAGGGGAGCACGAAAUUGCACUCUAUAAAUUGAGAGUUACACACUCAUUCAAAGGGAGAGAGCAGACACACACAUUCAUUUCAUCCAUUACUCUCAUACACACAUUCAGAUUCACCACAAAGAGAGAAGGGAGCUUGGAGCUGUCCUGGGAACUACCUCGCUGCCACCAUCUAGUUCUUCUCCUCUCUUUAUCCUAUCUAUGUAUUUCUUAUUUUCUGUAUUCACAGUUAUGUCUAACUAAUCCAUCUAGUUAGGGCUUAGGAUGAAGCCCUAGUCAUGAAUAUUCAAUGUUAUUGAUGAUUUUAUAGUUAAUUGAUUUCCUUGCUUUCAUUAUCAAGUUGUUAACCUCCAAUUUAUUAUGUGCUUGAUGUAUGUUUUCUUGGAGUAGCUAACUAGGAUUUUAUGCAUCUAGCACAGGUUGGGAAGGGGUUUAGAUUCACCAAUUCUACUCUCCUUUCACAAGCAACACUUGAAUGGCCUAAGAAUCAUUCAAGGGGUUAACAACCAUAGGUUGACUAGGACAGAUACCAUGUUCUAGGACUUGUGUGAUUAUCAUAUUCUCAAGGAGCUUAAUGACUCUUGUAUGCUUUAUUCUAAGUAGAUAUCAUGCUUAGGUUGCAUAUUAGAGAUCACGUGCUGUGUAGAUACCAUGCACAAUCACAUGCCUUAGGAGAAUGAUGCAUCCUGCACCUAGAUAGCAUAGGCUUGUAUGCGAUAAUCUAUUGUUGAUGAAGCUUGAGUCAAUUUCUAUGCAUUCAUAACUUGGAUAGGAAGACUAGUGGCAGAUUCCAAGGCUCUAACACCUCUCAAUCAUUGUUUCACAACUUGUUCAUUGCUGCUAGUGUUUACUUUCAAGCACUUUCAUUUCACUUUCUUGUUUUCAUUUCAACAACAAAACCCCUCAUUUCGAGUGCGUGUGUGGUGCUAGGAUUCUGUCAGACCUUGAGUAAUUAGCAAGAGGCAUUGUUGAAUUCGACCUUGCCUUUAGCUAGUUAGUCAGUUUCUUUGUUCUAUGUUUGUCUAGCAUUCUAAGUAAUUUAACUUGGAACCAAGUUACCAUUCUCCGUGGGAUCGACCUCGUAUUUACAUAAGCUAUACUAUAAACGGUUCGUGCACUUGCGAGAAUUAAAGUUGCUGUUUUUAAUAACUCAUUUUAGUUGUUAAGAAUAGGCUCAACAAUAUACACGUAUUUUUCAACAAUAUAUUCGUGUUAUAUACACGUCUCACAUUUUCUUUAAAAAGCAAACAUACAAUAGUCGUAUUUCUAAUAUUUUAUGCAUCAGUCCCCUUCUAUUGAGGGAUCCCUCAAAUAAAAUUAUUUGAGGGACGUCCUUUAGGGUACCCUACAAUUUUUUUCCCAAUGAUCCAAACCAUCUAUUUUUUAGGUCUUCAUUCAUAGAUCAUCCUAACAAAAAAUUAGAUAAAUCGGAAACCGUUUCGACAUCCAAUUGUGUCUUACAAAAUCAAUGAACACGGUACUUCAAGAAAAUGCUAAAAUUUCAAUAACUUAAUUGAGUGGUCAAAUGAUAUCGGAUUCAAGUGAUUUUUUGUAGGGAUGAUCUUUGAAUGAGUAUUUACAAAAUAGACGGUUUGGAUUAGUGAAAUACAAUCCGGAGUGGGGCCUACAAGGGGUGUCCCUCAAAUAAGCUUAUUUGAGGGAUCCCUCAAUGGAAGCUCUCUGUUUUAUGCAUAUUUUUUACAAAAUUUUCAACAACACACAAAAAUUCAAAUUAGUUAAUUAUUUAAAUUAAAAUUUUCACGUACUUUUUACAAAAUUUUAAGUAACACACACAAAUUCACAUAUUAUACAAAUAAUUCUCAUAUAUUAUUGAAUAAGAAUAACAUGUGGUAUAAAAAUUAUAUUAAAACAUAAAAUAGAGGAAGAUUAAUAUCUACUUUGGUACUUCUUUAUUAUUAUUAUUAUUAUUAUUAUUAUUUUAAACGAGUACAGCCGUACGGCUAUACUCGAUGUUUUAAAUUUUUUGAAAAAGCCAUGGGCUAACACGUGGCGCCACAUGGCUGGAGUCUUUUUUUAUAAUUAAAAAUAGUAUAGCCGCACAAUUCUAGAGAAAUGCAUUCUCCACUUAUGGAUAAAUGAAAUGAUUUCAAUGUGAAUCCUCAAAUGCAACCAGGGAAUCAGUUUCCUUUCCUAUGAAGUUGAACUAUAAACAAUCUGAAUACUACAUUGAUCCGUUUUGGCUUGGCUACUUGUGAUAAGUUACUUCUGUUAGUGUAAAAUAUUAGAAGAUGAUAACAGAAUCCCUUGGCCUGGAGUCCCUUUCAAAUAAUGUAAUAAUCGAUCUGCAGCAUCUUUAUGAGUUGUACGGGGGCUUUGCAUGAAUUGGCUCAAAAUAUGAACUGUAUGAACAAUGUCUGGCCUAGUGAUGGUGAGAUAUAUCAAGCGACCCACCAAUCUUCUAUAAGUUUCUGGAUUAUGUAAUAGUUCCCCAUCUUCAUUGUUUAACUUGAGAUUUUGUUCCAUGGGGAAGAAAGUAGGACGUGAACCAAUAAGACCUGAGUCUUUCAAAAUGUCAAGUGCAUACUUCCGUUGGCUCAAAUACAAUCCCUUUGAAGAACGAGACACUUCUAUCCCAAGGAAGUAUUUUAAAUCACCAAGGUCUUUUAAAUGAAAACGUUGGUGCAACAAAUUCUUGACAAUUGAUAUAGUAGCAACAUCGGUACCUGUAAUAAUAAUAUCGUCAACAUAUACAAGCAAGAAAAUUGAUGACUUACCUUUGUGACGAUAGAAAAGGGAGUAAUCUGCUUUAGAUUGAGAAAAUCCCGCAUCAAGUAAUGUUUUGGAGAAUUUUGCAAACCAACACCCAGAAGCUUGCUUUAAUCCAUAAAGUGAUUUGUUAAGACGGCACACCAUGUUUCCCCCCUUGCCGUGAUAACCUUGAGGGAGCUGCAUGUAAACCCUCUUCAUGUAAAUCAUCAUGAAGAAAGGCAUUGUUGACGUCUAAUUGUUGAAGACACCAACCCUUGGCAGUGGCCAAAGAUAAUAAAACACGAACAGUGGUAAGUUUGGCAACAGGAGAAAAAGUUUCAUGAUAAUCAAUCCCUUCCAUUUGCGUAUAUCCCUUGGCGACGAGGCGAGCUUUGCAUCGUUCAAUAGUGCCAUUAGAAUGCCGUUUUAUUUUAUAGACCCACUUGCAGCCGAUGGCUUUUUUAUGAGCAGGCAAGGCCAUGAGGGUCCAUGUAUGAUUAGCUUCCAAGGCAGCAAGUUCACUUUGCAUAGCUUUACGCCAUUCAGGAUAUUUAGUAGAUUCAUCAAAAGUGUUAGGCUCAACAAUGGUAGUAAUAGAAGCAAGAAAACUUUGAUGUUUAAUGGAGAAUUUGUCAUAAGAUAAAUAAUGGGAUAAAGGGUACCUGGUGCCAUGUGGACCUGAAGUCGAAGAGGUUGCUUGAGAUUGGUAGCAGUGAUAAUCAUUAAGGUAACCUGGUGGUUUGCGACUACGAGGAGGAGGAGAUGAGGGAGGUGCUAUAAUGGCAGAGGAAGUAUUAGAAUUUGUGAUGGCUGGUGUAGGUGUUUCGGUAGGAGAUGGAGGCAAAAGAGAUGGGAGAGAAGAAAGUAUGUUGGUUGGUGGAAAAGAAAGUAUGUUGGUUGGUGGAGAAGAAGGUGUGUUGGUGGGUGGAGUAGAGGGAGACGUGUUAGUGUCUGGAGUGGCUUGUGUUUCUGGGUUAGAUAAAUCUGGUGAGGUAAGUGGAUGAGCGAAAGCUAAAGGAAGGUGGGAAUGUUCAAAAUCUGUUGCAGGAAUGGGUAAAACACCAGGUAAAGUGUGGUUAUUUUGUGAUAAAUUAUAAGGAAAAAUAGUUUUGUAAAAAGUGACAUCUCUAGAAGUGUAAAUUUUCUUUGUUUCAAGAUCAUAUAUUUUAUAAGCCUUUUGAAAAGGUGGAUAACCAAUAAAGAUACAUGGUUUUGCUCUUUUAUCAAAUUUAUGAGAAUGGGGAGACAAGUUAUGACCAUAACAAAGACAACCAAAAAUUCGUAGGUGGGUAUAAGAAGGUGCUUUGUUGAAAAGAAUUUCAUAAGGUGUUUUCCCAUGUAAGAUUUUGGUGGGUAAACGAUUAAUUAGAUAAGCAGCAGUAAGAACACAAUCACCCCAAAAAGAAACAGGUAAAUUUGAUUGAAAACGAAGGGAACGAGCAAUAUUUAAAAGAUGACGAUGUUUUCUUUCGACGACACCAUUUUGUUGUGGUGUUGCCACACAACUAUGUUGAUGAAUGACACCAAGUGAAGAAAAAUAUUGGUUCAAUUUGUGAUUAAAAAAUUCAGUUCCAUUGUCAGUACGAACUUGACGAAUAGAACAAUUAAAUUGUGUUUUGACCAUAGCAAAAAAAUAUGGUAAGUAGGUAUUAACUUCUGAUUUAUGCUGCAUUAAAUAAAGCCAAGUACUACGAGAAAAAUCAUCAACUAUGGUUAAAAAAUAUUUAGCACCAGAAAUUGAAGAAACAGAAUAAGGUCCCCAAACAUCACAAUGUAUUAAAUCGAAGCAAGCAUUUGUUGAUAUAGUGCUUAAAGGAAAAGAAAGCCGACAAUGUUUAGCCAAAGGGCAAAUAGUGCAAGCAUGAUUAUUAUCAAAAGAAAUUUUUGAAUUCAAACUUUGUAAAUAAGGAAGAGUACACUUGGAUGGAUGUCCUAAGCGCCAGUACACUUUGUAAAUGCUGCCUUGGGUUCACCCUCUCCCGCAUAAAUUCAAGAGCAAAUUCCUCACCGGUCUGAAUGGAGUAAUUCGACACAGGCCUGGCUCCAACAGCAACAUUGUAAUCUGGAGGUCGCAUGUUAGUGUUAAUAUUACUUGAUGGAUCCGGGAAAAACCUUUGAUUGGCAGACCCAUGUCCCUCAUUUCUAGUUUCAACAGUACUGUAUCGAACUUGCUCGUAGUUUUUCUGUUGAUCCAUUGUACCUUUACCCAAAUUUCUAUCCAUAUGGUCUAACUUCACCUGGAUAAACAGCCACGCCACAAAGCAGUAAAUAUGACACAUGAGCAUUCUCCCAUGGGUAGCCAACUGCAAUCUUUGCUAUCAGAAUACAUUCUUCCAAUGAAGCAGUCCUUAAUUAGGAACCUAAGGGAGUAAAUGAGGUAUCACUAGAUCAGUCAACCAGAAGGAUAAUCUCUAAGCAUGAGCAAUGUAUAAGAAAACAACCUUCUCCAACAAGACAGAAGCCAAAAGACUUGAAGCACCUUGAACAAAUUAUUCAAUUUGAGUUCAAAACUCAUCAAUGAUUUGAGAAACAAACCAGUGAAUCCAUAUAUAGAUAAUCAAGUCUAAAGAACAAACUACAGACUCAAACAUUUUAACCUAACAACCUCUCAUAAUUAUCUAAUUUCAGAAAUGCACUGAUAUUCACAUAUAUACUUGAAGCACCUUGAUAAACUUUGAAACAGGCUUCUCUAAACAAUGAAAAUGUUGUAAAAAAGAGUCACUUUAGAGGAGAUUUCAACUUUUUCGAGAUGAUUUAAAGCAAUACAGAUACAAGCUUUGAAAUAUCAUGUCCUUUUUCCUUCUUUAUUUUCAGUGACCAAACAGACGAUAAAUCAACCCAAUUGGAAUCCAAAAGAUAUUCCACAAUUCACAUUGUUUGGAUCAACUUACGACUGCAUCAACAACUAUAAAUAUGACUUCCAUUGUACCCAUUUGUAUCCAUAUCAUCUUUUUCAUUCAUUUUCUCAGCAUGCAAACCGUUUCAACAAGUAUACAGCUCGGUUUCCCCAUAAUAAUAUUGAAGAAUAAUAAUAACUGCUAGUAACACUGUCUCAAUAAAAUUGGAGAAUUUCAUGAAUUUACUUGUGAAAUUGACUCAAUCAGAAAAUCGGUAGACUAGAAAGACUAAGAAGACUUGAGCUAGAUUUUGAGUCACCGACAUGCAACUCAGAUUCAAGAUCCAAAACCCACAGAAUCAAACCCCAAAAAAAAAAAGAAAAAAAGAAAAAGAAAAAAAGAAACCCCUUUCGAGUUGACAUAAACAUAAAAACAAAAAAAACCCAAAAUUCACAGCAAUCAGGCAAGAUUUUCAGCAUAUGAACUCCGACCCAUUCAAAUUCACACAUAAUCAGCUCAAAAUUGAACAUCAAAAUCCCAAAAUAACAAAAAAGACCAUAGCUUGUAAGAGAUCCAGCUGAAAUUAGUACAAUUAUACAAUAAUGGGUGAAACGAACACAAAACUGAUCGCAAAAAACAAUAAUGAAGAAGAUUAACUUAAUAAUUACCUUCGAAGACAAUAACAUAGAUCAGUGAAGAACACAAACACUGACUGUGAAUACCCCCACCCUCUGUCUCUCUGUUUAUGCGUCUUAUAGUUGAAACUUUCUGUGAGCUCAAAGACUCUUUUUUUUUUUUCACAUUUCUUUUCUUUGUUUUUUAAAGAAGAUUUUGGAGAUUUACGGCUUUCUCAGAACGGUAACGAAUUUUUUUUAUUUUCCACAGCUAAAAAAGAUAAAAUUGAUCUUGUUAAUUUUCUAUUUUUGUUUAUGGAGAGCCCACUCGCUGUAGGAGCUCGUGCACAACACUGUCCACUUGGAGGGGGAUAUUCCUUGGCAGGCUUUGGAUGUGCUGUAACAGUACUUGGUUACUGUGUGAAGAACUUAGAAUGAAUAUGUGUACAUACGACCCAAAAUCUAGUUGGAUUUUCUAAUAGAAUUGGGUGUGCUUUUUCUACUAGAUGCACCUGCUGAAGUGUUAUACGCACCUCAUUUUACCCUAAUUGGAAAUUUUGUACAACUUAUAUGGUAAUCUUGUAAAUUUAACACUCACCAAGUUUGUGGGAGUUUUAGCUCUUUGGGGUAAGAAUAUCUCUCUAUCAAAAAGAAGUUGAUAAUCUAACUAAAAGCUUGCAUGCCAAUUAUUGAAUCAUAUAUAUCAACGAUUGAGAUGCACUUUAGUCACUCUCACACGCAUCUCAGCCGUCAAUAAGAGAUUUUUUCUUUUCUUUGUUGAGACUAUCUAUAUUGUGAUAAUGUAAAAGAAAUAGAAUAGCACUGGGUUUUUUCAAAUUUUUUUCAAAAGAAAUCGUAUAGCCGAGCGGUUAUACUUGGUUUUUUCUAAUUUUUUUUAAAAGAAAGCUAUACUGAGUUUUUUUUAGUUUUAUUUUUUUAAAAUAGUAUAGCCGGGCGGCUAUACUCGAUUUUUUAAUUUUAUUUUUUUAAAAUAGUAUAGCCGGGCGGCUAUACUCGAUUUUUUAAUUUUUUUAUAGAGAAAUCGUAUAGCCGCGCGGCUAUACUCGGUGUUUUCUGAUUUUUUUUAACAAAAAGCUAUAUACUGGUUUUGUACAUGUCUUAAAAACUCGAUAAAAUUCGCAUUUUUUUUAAAAGCAAAUAUACAAUACUCAUAUUGAACAUAUACGUACAUAUUUUUCAUGUUUAGUACAUGUAUUAUCACAUAAUUAUCAUAUAUUAUUGAAUACAAAUAAUAUAUAUUUAAAAAAUUAAAUAUAUAAUAUUAAAAUAUUAUAUAGUGGCUGUCGAUUAGGGUACCGCACCUUGAGCGACAGUAGACGUGAAACCUCAUGAAGGCCUCCCCACUUUUCUAAUGCACGUGCAAUGUCGUAGCGCCCUGUAAAAUGUUGAAAACAGAAUUGGUUUUAUAGGAAGAUACAAAGAAUAGUAUUUACUUAGUAAGGUGAAACAACCUAGGUUCCUAAACAAAUUGUAGCAGAAACAAAAAGACAAGGAAAAACUAGGUCUGGCUAGCUGCGGACUGUUAUGUCCCUCUCAAACAUGCAAUGGCUAUGCCACAGUAAACCAUCUAACCAAAUAUGAGAUCAUAAUCUCCUUCUAUCAAGUCCUAGGCCUUGCCUCAAGGGUAAAGUGACUUGGUGGUUUGAGGUAAGUCCUAGGUUCAAAUCUUGUCCAGUUACAUGAAAUUUUAAAAAAAAUAAGAAUAAGGAAAUCAAACAAAAGGAGUAACAAAUCAGUAGAAUAUACAAUACAACAAUCUUCAUGUUGUUGGUCAUUUCUUACCUGCACGCUCAAAUGACUUUCUACUGGGCAUGAAUGAAGGGUCCAUUCCCCAGCUCCUCUGAAAUCGAUUAAUCUGUAUGUAAAUUGGAAUUCUGUUAAACCAGGGAGUUUGAGCUCUUUUCCUUUUUUCUAUAGCAAGAGAUUUAGCACACGUUAUGAUUACAGCCUACCUCUUCCUGUAGCCCUUUGGUUUUCGAUGUUUAUAAGCAAGAGAGAGGCUCAUCAAUGUUGCAAUCCUCCGGAAUCCACCCAUGUGUGUGAUUGCUUUCUCGAUAUCUACCCUCCCAUGUAAACGAAGUUGCUUUCUCAUGGGCAUAAAUCCUUCCUGCCCAUGCUCUGAAAUAAAUUUCAGGAGCUCACUUUUCAACACUUCAAUAUCCCUCUGCAAGCCUGGUACUCCCUAUAUAUACUUUCAUCGCAUGCUUUCAUUGAGUGUGCCGCCUCCCUCUGUGCUAGAAAGAGAUGGUUAAUGAUUGCACAAAUAACACAAACCUCUUCCGUGAUGGCUUCAGAAAGAAAAGUAUCCUUGCGCAUUUUCGAUUCCACAGAACACUUUAACCGUGUGUGAUGACUUACAUUACAGGAAAAGUAAGUUAACUUGUGUAUGAGUUUUAAGAUGAUUGGCACUCUCACAUCACUUAAGUUAAGAGUAUUACAAUGACAUAUCUUUAGCACCAUUUUUUAAGGAUCGGAGAGUGCCUAUUUAUACAGCUAGAGCUAUAGAUUGUCCUCUUUAUUAACUAAUAAGAUUUAGAGAUGAGACACAUUAUCUGAUCCCAAAAGACUGCUAGUACCUCGAAAGUAUGCGUAUAGUAGUAAGAGAGGUAGUAGUAUUCUUCAUGUAAAGUGUUGUUUCAAAAGUGAAGCAAUUACCAUAAUAGUUUUGUUGGUUUUCCAAGGUAUUGCAAACAUGUUCGAGCUCCCACAUUGGAACACUACAGUUCCUUGGAGGUCUUUUUAAGACUUACUCUUGGAAAUAGAAUAGUUUAUAUUGGCUAUGCAAGCGGCCCAAUUGAGUGGCUUGUGGGUAUGACGUUCGGUUAAAUGCCUAAUUAAUUGAGUUAACGGUUAAUAAACAUAUUUAAUUAAUCAAUAAAUAAAUAAUAAUUAAAAUAUAAUUGCUAAUUCAACUACUUAAAUCUCCAAAUAUAUUAUGUAGUUACUAAAAAUAGAAUUUUUAAAAAUUAAUUAACCUAAACAUCCUAAGUUUAUACUUAUUUUUAAAAAUGAAGACCUCUCCCGACGUAAUUUCGUCGGCAAAGAUAUUUUCGUCGGGGGAAACCUAAUCCGGCAAAUUUUGUCGGCAUAGAACUUUGCCGACGAAAUUUCGUCGGGAGAAGUGUUCAUGUGUUUUUUUUUUUUUUUUGAAAAGUAUAAAUUUUAAAAAUAUGGAUAUGUUUGAACUAGCAAAUUAAUACCUAUAAAGUACAAGCUAAUGCAACUUGGAGGGUCCUUCUUUCUUUUAUUUAUUUAUUAAAUACUAUAUUUACAUAGUAUAGCCGUGCGGCUGUACUAUAUUUUUCUUUUUGAAAAAUAGUCUAGCCGGGCGGCUAUACUUUUUUGGGACACGUGGCGCCUAAUCGCUGGAGGCUCCUUUUUUUUUUAAGACCAAAAAAUAGUACAGCCGCACGGCCAUACCCGGUGUUUUUUAAAAAGUCGACACGUGGCGCCUUUUUAUAUUAAAAAUAGUAUAGCCGCACGGCUAUACUCAGUUUUUGUUUGUUUUUUUUAAAUUUUUUUUAAAAUUUUUUAAAUUUUUUUUAUUUUAUGAAAAGGUAGGCUACACCCUUUAAGUAGCAUGGUAUGUAUUUCACUUUUUUAAUUACUUUGAUUAGUAAAGGAGAAAAAGAAGAAGAGAAAUUGAAUUACUAUUCAUUAAGUAAUAUAAUUCAUGAAGUUAAUUAAAAUAUUUAAUCAUAAUCAGUCAAUAAAUAAAUAAUAAUUAAAAUAUAAUUGCUAAUUCAACUACUUAAAUCUCCAAAUAUAUUAUGUAGUUACUAAAAAUAGAAUUUUUAAAAAUUAAUUAACCUAAACAUCCUAAGUUUAUACUUAUUUUUAAAAAUGAAGACCUCUCCCGACGAAAUUUCGUCGGCAAAGAUAUUUUCGUCGGGGGAAACCUAAUCCGGCAAAUUUUGUCGGCAUAGAACUUUGCCGACGAAAUUUCGUCGGGAGAAGUGUUCAUGUGUUUUUUUUUUUUUUUUGAAAAGUAUAAAUUUUAAAAAUAUGGAUAUGUUUGAACUAGCAAAUUAAUACCUAUAAAGUACAAGCUAAUGCAACUUGGAGGGUCCUUCUUUCUUUUAUUUAUUUAUUAAAUACUAUAUUUACAUAGUAUAGCCGUGCGGCUGUACUAUAUUUUUCUUUUUGAAAAAUAGUCUAGCCGGGCGGCUAUACUUUUUUGGGACACGAGGCGCCUAAUCGCUGGAGGCUCCUUUUUUUUUUAAGACCAAAAAAUAGUACAGCCGCACGGCCAUACCCGGUGUUUUUAAAAAGUCGACACGUGGCGCCUUUUUAUAUUAAAAACAGUAUAGCCGCACGGCUAUACUCAGUUUUUGUUUGUUUUUUUUAAAUUUUUUUUAAAAUUUUUUAAAAUUUUUUUAUUUUAUGAAAAGGUGGGCUACACCCUUUAAGUAGCAUGGUAUGUAUUUCACUUUUUUAAUUACUUUGAUUAGUAAAGGAGAAAAAGAAGAAGAGAAAUUGAAUUACUAUUCAUUAAGUAAUAUAAUUCAUGAAGUUAAUUAAAAUAUUUAAUCAUAAUCAGUCAAUAAAUAAAUAAUAAUUAAAAUAUAAUUGCUAAUUCAACUACUUAAAUCUCCAAAUAUAUUAUGUAGUUACUAAAAAUAGAAUUUUUAAAAAUUAAUUAACCUAAACAUCCUAAGUUUAUACUUAUUUUUAAAAAUGAAGACCUCUCCCGACGAAAUUGCGUCGGCAAAGAUAUUUUCGUCGGGGGAAACCUAAUCCGGCAAAUUUUGUCGGCAUAGAACUUUGCCGACGAAAUUUCGUCGGGAGAAGUGUUCAUGUGUUUUUUUUUUUUUUUGAAAAGUAUAAAUUUUAAAAAUAUGGAUAUGUUUGAACUAGCAAAUUAAUACCUAUAAAGUACAAGCUAAUGCAACUUGGAGGGUCCUUCUUUCUUUUAUUUAUUUAUUAAAUACUAUAUUUACAUAGUAUAGCCGUGCGGCUGUACUAUAUUUUUCUUUUUGAAAAAUAGUCUAGCCGGGCGGCUAUACUUUUUUGGGACACGUGGCGCCUAAUCGCUGGAGGCUCCUUUUUUUUUUAAGACCAAAAAAUAGUACAGCCGCACGGCCAUACCCGGUGUUUUUAAAAAGUCGACACGUGGCGCCUUUUUAUAUUAAAAAUAGUAUAGCCGCACGGCUAUACUCAGUUUUUGUUUGUUUUUUUUAAAUUUUUUUUAAAAUUUUUUAAAAUUUUUUUAUUUUAUGAAAAGGUAGGCUACACCCUUUAAGUAGCAUGGUAUGUAUUUCACUUUUUUAAUUACUUUGAUUAGUAAAGGAGAAAAAGAAGAAGAGAAAUUGAAUUACUAUUCAUUAAGUAAUAUAAUUCAUGAAGUUAAUUAAAAUAUUUAAUCAUAAUCAGUCAAUAAAUAAAUAAUAAUUAAAAUAUAAUUGCUAAUUCAACUACUUAAAUCUCCAAAUAUAUUAUGUAGUUACUAAAAAUAGAAUUUUUAAAAAUUAAUUAACCUAAACAUCCUAAGUUUAUACUUAUUUUUAAAAAUGAAGACCUCUCCCGACGAAAUUUCGUCGGCAAAGAUAUUUUCGUCGGGGGAAACCUAAUCCGGCAAAUUUUGUCGGCAUAGAACUUUGCCGACGAAAUUUCGUCGGGAGAAGUGUUCAUGUGUUUUUUUUUUUUUUGAAAAGUAUAAAUUUUAAAAAUAUGGAUAUGUUUGAACUAGCAAAUUAAUACCUAUAAAGUACAAGCUAAUGCAACUUGGAGGGUCCUUCUUUCUUUUAUUUAUUUAUUAAAUACUAUAUUUACAUAGUAUAGCCGUGCGGCUGUACUAUAUUUUUCUUUUUGAAAAAUCGUCUAGCCGGGCGGCUAUACUUUUUUGGGACACGUGGCGCCUAAUCGCUGGAGGCUCCUUUUUUUUUUAAGACCAAAAAAUAGUACAGCCGCACGGCCAUACCCGGUGUUUUUAAAAAGUCGACACGUGGCGCCUUUUUAUAUUAAAAAUAGUAUAGCCGCACGGCUAUACUCAGUUUUUGUUUGUUUUUUUUAAAUUUUUUUUAAAAUUUUUUAAAUUUUUUUUAUUUUAUGAAAAGGUAGGCUACACCCUUUAAGUAGCAUGGUAUGUAUUUCACUUUUUUAAUUACUUUGAUUAGUAAAGGAGAAAAAGAAGAAGAGAAAUUGAAUUACUAUUCAUUAAGUAAUAUAAUUCAUGAAGUUAAUUAAAAUAUUUAAUCAUAAUCAGUCAAUAAAUAAAUAAUAAUUAAAAUAUAAUUGCUAAUUCAACUACUUAAAUCUCCAAAUAUAUUAUGUAGUUACUAAAAAUAGAAUUUUUAAAAAUUAAUUAACCUAAACAUCCUAAGUUUAUACUUAUUUUUAAAAAUGAAGACCUCUCCCGACGAAAUUUCGUCGGCAAAGAUAUUUUCGUCGGGGGAAACCUAAUCCGGAAAAUUUUGUCGGCAUAGAACUUUGCCGACGAAAUUUCGUCGGGAGAAGUGUUCAUGUGUUUUUUUUUUUUUUUGAAAAGUAUAAAUUUUAAAAAUAUGGAUAUGUUUGAACUAGCAAAUUAAUACCUAUAAAGUACAAGCUAAUGCAACUUGGAGGGUCCAUCUUUCUUUUAUUUAUUUAUUAAAUACUAUAGUUACAUAGUAUAGCCGUGCGGCUGUACUAUAUUUUUCUUUUUGAAAAAUAGUCUAGCCGGGCGGCUAUACUUUUUUGGGACACGUGGCGCCUAAUCGCUGGAGGCUCCUUUUUUUUUUAAGACCAAAAAAUAGUACAGCCGCACGGCCAUACCCGGUGUUUUUAAAAAGUCGACACGUGGCGCCUUUUUAUAUUAAAAAUAGUAUAGCCGCACGGCUAUACUCAGUUUUUGUUUGUUUUUUUUAAAUUUUUUUUAAAAUUUUUUAAAUUUUUUUUAUUUUAUGAAAAGGUAGGCUACACCCUUUAAGUAGCAUGGUAUGUAUUUCACUUUUUUAAUUACUUUGAUUAGUAAAGGAGAAAAAGAAGAAGAGAAAUUGAAUUACUAUUCAUUAAGUAAUAUAAUUCAUGAAGUUAAUUAAAAUAUUUAAUCAUAAUCAGUCAAUAAAUAAAUAAUAAUUAAAAUAUAAUUGCUAAUUCAACUACUUAAAUCUCCAAAUAUAUUAUGUAGUUACUAAAAAUAGAAUUUUUAAAAAUUAAUUAACCUAAACAUCCUAAGUUUAUACUUAUUUUUAAAAAUGAAGACCUCUCCCGACGAAAUUUCGUCGGCAAAGAUAUUUUCGUCGGGGGAAACCUAAUCCGGAAAAUUUUGUCGGCAUAGAACUUUGCCGACGAAAUUUCGUCGGGAGAAGUGUUCAUGUGUUUUUUUUUUUUUUUGAAAAGUAUAAAUUUUAAAAAUAUGGAUAUGUUUGAACUAGCAAAUUAAUACCUAUAAAGUACAAGCUAAUGCAACUUGGAGGGUCCUUCUUUCUUUUAUUUAUUUAUUAAAUACUAUAUUUACAUAGUAUAGCCGUGCGGCUGUACUAUAUUUUUCUUUUUGAAAAAUAGUCUAGCCGGGCGGCUAUACUUUUUUGGGACACGUGGCGCCUAAUCGCUGGAGGCUCCUUUUUUUUUUAAGACCAAAAAAUAGUACAGCCGCACGGCCAUACCCGGUGUUUUUAAAAAGUCGACACGUGGCGCCUUUUUAUAUUAAAAACAGUAUAGCCGCACGGCUAUACUCAGUUUUUGUUUUUUUUUUUUAAAUUUUUUUUAAAAUUUUUUAAAUUUUUUUUAUUUUAUGAAAAGGUAGGCUACACCCUUUAAGUAGCAUGGUAUGUAUUUCACUUUUUUAAUUACUUUGAUUAGUAAAGGAGAAAAAGAAGAAGAGAAAUUGAAUUACUAUUCAUUAAGUAAUAUAAUUCAUGAAGUUAAUUAAAAUAUUUAAUCAUAAUCAGUCAAUAAAUAAAUAAUAAUUAAAAUAUAAUUGCUAAUUCAACUACUUAAAUCUCCAAAUAUAUUAUGUAGUUACUAAAAAUAGAAUUUUUAAAAAUUAAUUAACCUAAACAUCCUAAGUUUAUACUUAUUUUUAAAAAUGAAGACCUCUCCCGACGAAAUUCCGUCGGCAAAGAUAUUUUCGUCGGGGGAAACCUAAUCCGGCAAAUUUUGUCGGCAUAGAACUUUGCCGACGAAAGUUCGUCGGGAGAAGUGUUCAUGUGUUUUUUUUUUUUUUUGAAAAGUAUAAAUUUUAAAAAUAUGGAUAUGUUUGAACUAGCAAAUUAAUACCUAUAAAGUACAAGCUAAUGCAACUUGGAGGGUCCUUCUUUCUUUUAUUUAUUUAUUAAAUACUAUAUUUACAUAGUAUAGCCGUGCGGCUGUACUAUAUUUUUCUUUUUGAAAAAUAGUCUAGCCGGGCGGCUAUACUUUUUUGGGACACGUGGCGCCUAAUCGCUGGAGGCUCCUUUUUUUUUUAAGACCAAAAAAUAGUACAGCCGCACGGCCAUACCCGGUGUUUUUAAAAAGUCGACACGUGGCGCCUUUUUAUAUUAAAAAUAGUAUAGCCGCACGGCUAUACUCAGUUUUUGUUUGUUUUUUUUAAAUUUUUUUUAAAAUUUUUUAAAAUUUUUUUAUUUUAUGAAAAGGUAGGCUACACCCUUUAAGUAGCAUGGUAUGUAUUUCACUUUUUUAAUUACUUUGAUUAGUAAAGGAGAAAAAGAAGAAGAGAAAUUGAAUUACUAUUCAUUAAGUAAUAUAAUUCAUGAAGUUAAUUAAAAUAUUUAAUCAUAAUCAGUCAAUAAAUAAAUAAUAAUUAAAAUAUAAUUGCUAAUUCAACUACUUAAAUCUCCAAAUAUAUUAUGUAGUUACUAAAAAUAGAAUUUUUAAAAAUUAAUUAACCUAAACAUCCUAAGUUUAUACUUAUUUUUAAAAAUGAAGACCUCUCCCGACGAAAUUUCGUCGGCAAAGAUAUUUUCGUCGGGGGAAACCUUAUCCGGCAAAUUUUGUCGGCAUAGAACUUUGCCGACGAAAUUUCGUCGGGAGAAGUGUUCAUGUGUUUUUUUUUUUUUUUGAAAAGUAUAAAUUUUAAAAAUAUGGAUAUGUUUGAACUAGCAAAUUAAUACCUAUAAAGUACAAGCUAAUGCAACUUGGAGGGUCCUUCUUUCUUUUAUUUAUUUAUUAAAUACUAUAUUUACAUAGUAUAGCCGUGCGGCUGUACUAUAUUUUUCUUUUUGAAAAAUAGUCUAGCCGGGCGGCUAUACUUUUUUGGGACACGAGGCGCCUAAUCGCUGGAGGCUCCUUUUUUUUUUAAGACCAAAAAAUAGUACAGCCGCACGGCCAUACCCGGUGUUUUUAAAAAGUCGACACGUGGCGCCUUUUUAUAUUAAAAAUAGUAUAGCCGCACGGCUAUACUCAGUUUUUGUUUGUUUUUUUUAAAUUUUUUUUAAAAUUUUUUAAAUUUUUUUUAUUUUAUGAAAAGGUAGGCUACACCCUUUAAGUAGCAUGGUAUGUAUUUCACUUUUUUAAUUACUUUGAUUAGUAAAGGAGAAAAAGAAGAAGAGAAAUUGAAUUACUAUUCAUUAAGUAAUAUAAUUCAUGAAGUUAAUUAAAAUAUUUAAUCAUAAUCAGUCAAUAAAUAAAUAAUAAUUAAAAUAUAAUUGCUAAUUCAACUACUUAAAUCUCCAAAUAUAUUAUGUAGUUACUAAAAAUAGAAUUUUUAAAAAUUAAUUAACCUAAACAUCCUAAGUUUAUACUUAUUUUUAAAAAUGAAGACCUCUCCCGACGAAAUUGCGUCGGCAAAGAUAUUUUCGUCGGGGGAAACCUAAUCCGGCAAAUUUUGUCGGCAUAGAACUUUGCCGACGAAAUUUCGUCGGGAGAAGUGUUCAUGUGUUUUUUUUUUUUUUUGAAAAGUAUAAAUUUUAAAAAUAUGGAUAUGUUUGAACUAGCAAAUUAAUACCUAUAAAGUACAAGCUAAUGCAACUUGGAGGGUCCUUCUUUCUUUUAUUUAUUUAUUAAAUACUAUAUUUACAUAGUAUAGCCGUGCGGCUGUACUAUAUUUUUCUUUUUGAAAAAUAGUCUAGCCGGGCGGCUAUACUUUUUUGGGACACGAGGCGCCUAAUCGCUGGAGGCUCCUUUUUUUUUUAAGACCAAAAAAUAGUACAGCCGCACGGCCAUACCCGGUGUUUUUAAAAAGUCGACACGUGGCGCCUUUUUAUAUUAAAAACAGUAUAGCCGCACGGCUAUACUCAGUUUUUGUUUGUUUUUUUUAAAUUUUUUUUAAAAUUUUUUAAAAUUUUUUUAUUUUAUGAAAAGGUGGGCUACACCCUUUAAGUAGCAUGGUAUGUAUUUCACUUUUUUAAUUACUUUGAUUAGUAAAGGAGAAAAAGAAGAAGAGAAAUUGAAUUACUAUUCAUUAAGUAAUAUAAUUCAUGAAGUUAAUUAAAAUAUUUAAUCAUAAUCAGUCAAUAAAUAAAUAAUAAUUAAAAUAUAAUUGCUAAUUCAACUACUUAAAUCUCCAAAUAUAUUAUGUAGUUACUAAAAAUAGAAUUUUUAAAAAUUAAUUAACCUAAACAUCCUAAGUUUAUACUUAUUUUUAAAAAUGAAGACCUCUCCCGACGAAAUUUCGUCGGCAAAGAUAUUUUCGUCGGGGGAAACCUAAUCCGGCAAAUUUUGUCGGCAUAGAACUUUGCCGACGAAAUUUCGUCGGGAGAAGUGUUCAUGUGUUUUUUUUUUUUUUUUGAAAAGUAUAAAUUUUAAAAAUAUGGAUAUGUUUGAACUAGCAAAUUAAUACCUAUAAAGUACAAGCUAAUGCAACUUGGAGGGUCCUUCUUUCUUUUAUUUAUUUAUUAAAUACUAUAUUUACAUAGUAUAGCCGUGCGGCUGUACUAUAUUUUUCUUUUUGAAAAAUAGUCUAGCCGGGCGGCUAUACUUUUUUGGGACACGAGGCGCCUAAUCGCUGGAGGCUCCUUUUUUUUUUAAGACCAAAAAAUAGUACAGCCGCACGGCCAUACCCGGUGUUUUUAAAAAGUCGACACGUGGCGCCUUUUUAUAUUAAAAAUAGUAUAGCCGCACGGCUAUACUCAGUUUUUGUUUUUUUUUUAAAUUUUUUUUAAAAUUUUUUUAAAUUUUUUUAUUUUAUGAAAAGGUAGGCUACACCCUUUAAGUAGCGUGGUAUGUAUUUCACUUUUUUAAUUACUUUGAUUAGUAAAGGAGAAAAAGAAGAAGAGAAAUUGAAUUACUAUUCAUUAAGUAAUAUAAUUCAUGAAGUUAAUUAAAAUAUUUAAUCAUAAUCAGUCAAUAAAUAAAUAAUAAUUAAAAUAUAAUUGCUAAUUCAACUACUUAAAUCUCCAAAUAUAUUAUGUAGUUACUAAAAAUAGAAUUUUUAAAAAUUAAUUAACCUAAACAUCCUAAGUUUAUACUUAUUUUUAAAAAUGAAGACCUCUCCCGACGAAAUUGCGUCGGCAAAGAUAUUUUCGUCGGGGGAAACCUAAUCCGGCAAAUUUUGUCGGCAUAGAACUUUGCCGACGAAAUUUCGUCGGGAGAAGUGUUCAUGUGUUUUUUUUUUUUUUUGAAAAGUAUAAAUUUUAAAAAUAUGGAUAUGUUUGAACUAGCAAAUUAAUACCUAUAAAGUACAAGCUAAUGCAACUUGGAGGGUCCUUCUUUCUUUUAUUUAUUUAUUAAAUACUAUAUUUACAUAGUAUAGCCGUGCGGCUGUACUAUAUUUUUCUUUUUGAAAAAUAGUCUAGCCGGGCGGCUAUACUUUUUUGGGACACGAGGCGCCUAAUCGCUGGAGGCUCCUUUUUUUUUUAAGACCAAAAAAUAGUACAGCCGCACGGCCAUACCCGGUGUUUUUAAAAAGUCGACACGUGGCGCCUUUUUAUAUUAAAAACAGUAUAGCCGCACGGCUAUACUCAGUUUUUGUUUGUUUUUUUUAAAUUUUUUUUAAAAUUUUUUAAAAUUUUUUUAUUUUAUGAAAAGGUGGGCUACACCCUUUAAGUAGCAUGGUAUGUAUUUCACUUUUUUAAUUACUUUGAUUAGUAAAGGAGAAAAAGAAGAAGAGAAAUUGAAUUACUAUUCAUUAAGUAAUAUAAUUCAUGAAGUUAAUUAAAAUAUUUAAUCAUAAUCAGUCAAUAAAUAAAUAAUAAUUAAAAUAUAAUUGCUAAUUCAACUACUUAAAUCUCCAAAUAUAUUAUGUAGUUACUAAAAAUAGAAUUUUUAAAAAUUAAUUAACCUAAACAUCCUAAGUUUAUACUUAUUUUUAAAAAUGAAGACCUCUCCCGACGAAAUUUCGUCGGCAAAGAUAUUUUCGUCGGGGGAAACCUAAUCCGGCAAAUUUUGUCGGCAUAGAACUUUGCCGACGAAAUUUCGUCGGGAGAAGUGUUCAUGUGUUUUUUUUUUUUUUUGAAAAGUAUAAAUUUUAAAAAUAUGGAUAUGUUUGAACUAGCAAAUUAAUACCUAUAAAGUACAAGCUAAUGCAACUUGGAGGGUCCUUCUUUCUUUUAUUUAUUUAUUAAAUACUAUAUUUACAUAGUAUAGCCGUGCGGCUGUACUAUAUUUUUCUUUUUGAAAAAUAGUCUAGCCGGGCGGCUAUACUUUUUUGGGACACGUGGCGCCUAAUCGCUGGAGGCUCCUUUUUUUUUUAAGACCAAAAAAUAGUACAGCCGCACGGCUAUACCCGGUGUUUUUAAAAAGUCCACACGUGGCGCCUUUUUAUAUUAAAAAUAGUAUAGCCGCACGGCGAUACUCAGUUCUUGUUUUUUUUUUAAAAUUUUUUGAAAUUUUUUUAUUUUAUGAAAAGGUAGGCUGUAGGCUACACCCUUUAAGUAGCAUGGUAUGUAUUUCACUUUUUUAAUUACUUUGAUUAGUAAAGGAGAAAAAGAAGAAGAGAAAUUGAAUUACUAUUCAUUAAGUAAUAUAAUUCAUGAAGUUAAUUAAAAUAUUUAAUCAUAAUCAGUCAAUAAAUAAAUAAUAAUUAAAAUAUAAUUGCUAAUUCAACUACUUAAAUCUCCAAAUAUAUUAUGUAGUUACUAAAAAUAGAAUUUUUAAAAAUUAAUUAACCUAAACAUCCUAAGUUUAUACUUAUUUUUAAAAAUGAAGACCUCUCCCGACGAAAUUUCGUCGGCAAAGAUAUUUUCGUCGGGGGAAACCUAAUCCGGCAAAUUUUGUCGGCAUAGAACUUUGCCGACGAAAUUUCGUCGGGAGAAGUGUUCAUGUGUUUUUUUUUUUUUUUUGAAAAGUAUAAAUUUUAAAAAUAUGGAUAUGUUUGAACUAGCAAAUUAAUACCUAUAAAGUACAAGCUAAUGCAACUUGGAGGGUCCUUCUUUCUUUUAUUUAUUUAUUAAAUACUAUAUUUACAUAGUAUAGCCGUGCGGCUGUACUAUAUUUUUCUUUUUGAAAAAUAGUCUAGCCGGGCGGCUAUACUUUUUUGGGACACGUGGCGCCUAAUCGCUGGAGGCUCCUUUUUUUUUUAAGACCAAAAAAUAGUACAGCCGCACGGCCAUACCCGGUGUUUUUUAAAAAGUCGACACGUGGCGCCUUUUUAUAUUAAAAAUAGUAUAGCCGCACGGCUAUACUCAGUUUUUGUUUUUUUUUUUUAAAUUUUUUUUAAAAUUUUUUAAAAUUUUUUUAUUUUAUGAAAAGGUAGGCUACACCCUUUAAGUAGCAUGGUAUGUAUUUCACUUUUUUAAUUACUUUGAUUAGUAAAGGAGAAAAAGAAGAAGAGAAAUUGAAUUACUAUUCAUUAAGUAAUAUAAUUCAUGAAGCUAAUUAAAAUAUUUAAUCAUAAUCAGUCAAUAAAUAAAUAAUAAUUAAAAUAUAAUUGCUAAUUCAACUACUUAAAUCUCCAAAUAUAUUAUGUAGUUACUAAAAAUAGAAUUUUUAAAAAUUAAUUAACCUAAACAUCCUAAGUUUAUACUUAUUUUUAAAAAUGAAGACCUCUCCCGACGAAAUUUCGUCGGCAAAGAUAUUUUCGUCGGGGGAAACCUAAUCCGGCAAAUUUUGUCGGCAUAGAACUGUGCCGACGAAAUUUCGUCGGGAGAAGUGUUCUUGUGUUUUUUUUUUUUUUGAAAAGUAUAAAUUUUAAAAAUAUGGAUAUGUUUGAACUAGCAAAUUAAUACCUAUAAAGUACAAGCUAAUGCAACUUGGAGGGUCCUUCUUUCUUUUAUUUAUUUAUUAAAUACUAUAUUUACAUAGUAUAGCCGUGCGGCUGUACUAUAUUUUUCUUUUUGAAAAAUAGUCUAGCCGGGCGGCUAUACUUUUUUGGGACACGAGGCGCCUAAUCGCUGGAGGCUCCUUUUUUUUUUAAGACCAAAAAAUAGUACAGCCGCACGGCCAUACCCGGUGUUUUUAAAAAGUCGACACGUGGCGCCUUUUUAUAUUAAAAAUAGUAUAGCCGCACGGCUAUUCUCAGUUUUUGUUUUUUUUUUUAAAUUUUUUUUUUAAAUUUUUUUAAAUUUUUUUAUUUUAUGAAAAGGUAGGCUACACCCUUUAAGUAGCAUGGUAUGUAUUUCACUUUUUUAAUUACUUUGAUUAGUAAAGGAGAAAAAGAAGAAGAGAAAUUGAAUUACUAUUCAUUAAGUAAUAUAAUUCAUGAAGUUAAUUAAAAUAUUUAAUCAUAAUCAGUCAAUAAAUAAAUAAUAAUUAAAAUAUAAUUGCUAAUUCAACUACUUAAAUCUCCAAAUAUAUUAUGUAGUUACUAAAAAUAGAAUUUUUAAAAAUUAAUUAACCUAAACAUCCUAAGUUUAUACUUAUUUUUAAAAAUGAAGACCUCUCCCGACGAAAUUUCGUCGGCAAAGAUAUUUUCGUCGGGGGAAACCUAAUCCGGCAAAUUUUGUCGGCAUAGAACUUUGCCGACGAAAUUUCGUCGGGAGAAGUGUUCAUGUGUUUUUUUUUUUUUUUGAAAAGUAUAAAUUUUAAAAAUAUGGAUAUGUUUGAACUAGCAAAUUAAUACCUAUAAAGUACAAGCUAACGCAACUUGGAGGCUCCUUCUUUCUUUUAUUUAUUUAUUAAAUACUAUAUUUACAUAGUAUAGCCGUGCGGCUGUACUAUAUUUUUCUUUUUGAAAAAUAGUCUAGCCGGGCGGCUAUACUUUUUUGGGACACGUGGCGCCUAAUCGCUGGAGGCUCCUUUUUUUUUUAAGACCAAAAAAUAGUACAGCCGCACGGCUAUACCCGGUGUUUUUAAAAAGUCCACACGUGGCGCCUUUUUAUAUUAAAAAUAGUAUAGCCGCACGGCGAUACUCAGUUUUUGUUUUUUUUUUAAAUUUUUUUUAAAAUUUUUUUAAAUUUUUUUAUUUUAUGAAAAGGUAGGCUACACCCUUUAAGUAGCGUGGUAUGUAUUUCACUUUUUUAAUUACUUUGAUUAGUAAAGGAGAAAAAGAAGAAGAGAAAUUGAAUUACUAUUCAUUAAGUAAUAUAAUUCAUGAAGUUAAUUAAAAUAUUUAAUCAUAAUCAGUCAAUAAAUAAAUAAUAAUUAAAAUAUAAUUGCUAAUUCAACUACUUAAAUCUCCAAAUAUAUUAUGUAGUUACUAAAAAUAGAAUUUUUAAAAAUUAAUUAACCUAAACAUCCUAAGUUUAUACUUAUUUUUAAAAAUGAAGACCUCUCCCGACGAAAUUUCGUCGGCAAAGAUAUUUUCGUCGGGGGAAACCUAAUCCGGCAAAUUUUGUCGGCAUAGAACUUUGCCGACGAAAUUUCGUCGGGAGAAGUGUUCAUGUGUUUUUUUUUUUUUUUGAAAAGUAUAAAUUUUAAAAAUAUGGAUAUGUUUGAACUAGCAAAUUGAUACCUAUAAAGUACAAGCUAAUGCAACUUGGAGGGUCCAUCUUUCUUUUAUUUAUUUAUUAAAUACUAUAUUUACAUAGUAUAGCCGUGCGGCUGUACUAUAUUUUUCUUUUUGAAAAAUAGUCUAGCCGGGCGGCUAUACUUUUUUGGGACACGAGGCGCCUAAUCGCUGGAGGCUCCUUUUUUUUUUAAGACCAAAAAAUAGUACAGCCGCACGGCCAUACCCGGUGUUUUUAAAAAGUCGACACGUGGCGCCUUUUUAUAUUAAAAACAGUAUAGCCGCACGGCUAUACUCAGUUUUUGUUUGUUUUUUUUAAAUUUUUUUUAAAAUUUUUUAAAAUUUUUUUAUUUUAUGAAAAGGUGGGCUACACCCUUUAAGUAGCAUGGUAUGUAUUUCACUUUUUUAAUUACUUUGAUUAGUAAAGGAGAAAAAGAAGAAGAGAAAUUGAAUUACUAUUCAUUAAGUAAUAUAAUUCAUGAAGUUAAUUAAAAUAUUUAAUCAUAAUCAGUCAAUAAAUAAAUAAUAAUUAAAAUAUAAUUGCUAAUUCAACUACUUAAAUCUCCAAAUAUAUUAUGUAGUUACUAAAAAUAGAAUUUUUAAAAAUUAAUUAACCUAAACAUCCUAAGUUUAUACUUAUUUUUAAAAAUGAAGACCUCUCCCGACGAAAUUGCGUCGGCAAAGAUAUUUUCGUCGGGGGAAACCUAAUCCGGCAAAUUUUGUCGGCAUAGAACUUUGCCGACGAAAUUUCGUCGGGAGAAGUGUUCAUGUGUUUUUUUGUUUUUUUUGAAAAGUAUAAAUUUUAAAAAUAUGGAUAUGUUUGAACUAGCAAAUUAAUACCUAUAAAGUACAAGCUAAUGCAACUUGGAGGGUCCUUCUUUCUUUUAUUUAUUUAUUAAAUACUAUAUUUACAUAGUAUAGCCGUGCGGCUGUACUAUAUUUUUCUUUUUGAAAAAUAGUCUAGCCGGGCGGCUAUACUUUUUUGGGACACGUGGCGCCUAAUCGCUGGAGGCUCCUUUUUUUUUUAAGACCAAAAAAUAGUACAGCCGCACGGCCAUACCCGGUGUUUUUAAAAAGUCGACACGUGGCGCCUUUUUAUAUUAAAAAUAGUAUAGCCGCACGGCUAUACUCAGUUUUUGUUUUUUUUUUAAAUUUUUUUUAAAAUUUUUUUAAAUUUUUUUAUUUUAUGAAAAGGUAGGCUACACCCUUUAAGUAGCGUGGUAUGUAUUUCACUUUUUUAAUUACUUUGAUUAGUAAAGGAGAAAAAGAAGAAGAGAAAUUGAAUUACUAUUCAUUAAGUAAUAUAAUUCAUGAAGUUAAUUAAAAUAUUUAAUCAUAAUCAGUCAAUAAAUAAAUAAUAAUUAAAAUAUAAUUGCUAAUUCAACUACUUAAAUCUCCAAAUAUAUUCUCCAAUAUUAUUAUGGUAGUUACUAAAAAUAGAAUUUUUUAAAAAUUAAUUAACCUAAAACAUCCUAAGGUUUAUACUUAAUUUUUAAAAAUGAAGACCUNNNNNNNNNNNNNNNNNNNNNNNNNNNNNNNNNNNNNNNNNNNNNNNNNNNNNNNNNNNNNNNNNNNNNNNNNNNNNNNNNNNNNNNNNNNNNNNNNNNNACCUAAUCCGGCAAUUUUGUCGGCAUAGAACUUUGCCGACGAAAUUUCGUCGGGAGAAGUGUUCUUGUGUUUUUUUUUUUUUUGAAAAGUAUAAAUUUUAAAAAUAUGGAUAUGUUUGAACUAGCAAAUUAAUACCUAUAAAGUACAAGCUAAUGCAACUUGGAGGGUCCUUCUUUCUUUUAUUUAUUUAUUAAAUACUAUAUUUACAUAGUAUAGCCGUGCGGCUGUACUAUAUUUUUCUUUUUGAAAAAUAGUCUAGCCGGGCGGCUAUACUUUUUUGGGACACGAGGCGCCUAAUCGCUGGAGGCUCCUUUUUUUUUUAAGACCAAAAAAUAGUACAGCCGCACGGCCAUACCCGGUGUUUUUAAAAAGUCGACACGUGGCGCCUUUUUAUAUUAAAAAUAGUAUAGCCGCACGGCUAUACUCAGUUUUUGUUUGUUUUUUUUAAAUUUUUUUUAAAAUUUUUUAAAUUUUUUUUAUUUUAUGAAAAGGUAGGCUACACCCUUUAAGUAGCAUGGUAUGUAUUUCACUUUUUUAAUUACUUUGAUUAGUAAAGGAGAAAAAGAAGAAGAGAAAUUGAAUUACUAUUCAUUAAGUAAUAUAAUUCAUGAAGUUAAUUAAAAUAUUUAAUCAUAAUCAGUCAAUAAAUAAAUAAUAAUUAAAAUAUAAUUGCUAAUUCAACUACUUAAAUCUCCAAAUAUAUUAUGUAGUUACUAAAAAUAGAAUUUUUAAAAAUUAAUUAACCUAAACAUCCUAAGUUUAUACUUAUUUUUAAAAAUGAAGACUCUCCGACGAAGUUUCGUCGCAAGAUAUUUUCGUCGGGGGAAANNNNNNNNNNNNNNNNNNNNNNNNNNNNNNNNNNNNNNNNNNNNNNNNNNNNNNNNNNNNNNNNNNNNNNNNNNNNNNNNNNNNNNNNNNNNNNNNNNNNCUUUGCCGACGAAAUUUCGUCGGGAGAAGUGUUCAUGUGUUUUUUUUUUUUUUGAAAAGUAUAAAUUUUAAAAAUAUGGAUAUGUUUGAACUAGCAAAUUAAUACCUAUAAAGUACAAGCUAACGCAACUUGGAGGCUCCUUGUUUCUUUUAUUUAUUUAUUAAAUACUAUAUUUACAUAGUCUAGCCGUGCGGCUGUACUAUAUUUUUCUUUUUGAAAAAUAGUCUAGCCGGGCGGCUAUACUUUUUUGGGACACGUGGCGCCUAAUCGCUGGAGGCACCUUUUUUUUUAAGACCAAAAAAUAGUACAGCCGCACGGCCAUACCCGGUGUUUUUAAAAAGUCGACACGUGGCGCCUUUUUAUAUGAAAAUAGUAUAGCCGCACGGCUAUACUCAGUUUUUGUUUGUUUUUUUAAAAUUUUUUUAAAAUUUUUUAAAAUUUUUUUAUUUUAUGAAAAGGUAGGCUACACCCUUUAAGUAGCAUGGUAUGUAUUUCACUUUUUUAAUUACUUUGAUUAGUAAAGGAGAAAAAGAAGAAGAGAAAUUGAAUUACUAUUCAUUAAGUAAUAUAAUUCAUGAAGUUAAUUAAAAUAUUUAAUCAUAAUCAGUCAAUAAAUAAAUAAUAAUUAAAAUAUAAUUGCUAAUUCAACUACUUAAAUCUCCAAAUAUAUUAUGUAGUUACUAAAAAUAGAAUUUUUAAAAAUUAAUUAACCUAAACAUCCUAAGUUUAUACUUAUUUUUAAAAAUGAAGACCUCUCCCGACGAAAUUUCGUCGACAAAGAUAUUUUCGUCGGGGGAAACCUAAUCCGGCAAAUUUUGUCGGCAUAGAACUUUGCCGACGAAAUUUCGUCGGGAGAAGUGUUCAUGUGUUCUUUUUUUUUUUUUGAAAAGUAUAAAUUUUAAAAAUAUGGAUAUGUUUGAACUAGCAAAUUAAUACCUAUAAAGUACAAGCUAAUGCAACUUGGAGGGUCCUUCUUUCUUUUAUUUAUUUAUUAAAUACUAUAUUUACAUAUUAUAGCCGUGCGGGUGUACUAUAUUUUUCUUUUUGAAAAAUAGUCUAGCCGGGCGGCUAUACUUUUUUGGGACACGUGGCGCCUAAUCGCUGGAGGCUCCUUUUUUUUUAAGACCAAAAAAUAGUACAGCCGCACGGCUAUACCCGGUGUUUUUAAAAAGUCGACACGUGGCGCCUUUUUAUAUUAAAAAUAGCAUAGCCGCACGGCUAUACUCAGUUUUUGUUUUUUUUUUAAUUUUUUUAAAAUUUUUUUAUUUUAUGAAAAGGUAGGCUACACCCUUUAAGUAGCAUGGUAUGUAUUUCACUUUUUUAAUUACUUUGAUUAGUAAAGGAGAAAAAGAAGAAGAGAAAUUGAAUUACUAUUCAUUAAGUAAUAUAAUUCAUGAAGUUAAUUAAAAUAUUUAAUCAUAAUCAGUCAAUAAAUAAAUAAUAAUUAAAAUAUAAUUGCUAAUUCAACUACUUAAAUCUCCAAAUAUAUUAUGUAGUUACUAAAAAUAGAAUUUUUAAAAAUUAAUUAACCUAAACAUCCUAAGUUUAUACUUACUUUUAAAAAUGAAGACCUCUCCCGACGAAAUUUCGUCGGCAAAGAUAUUUUCGUCGGGGGAAACCUAAUCCGGCAAAUUUUGUCGGCAUAGAACUUUGCCGACGAAAUUUCGUCGGGAGAAGUGUUCAUGUGUUUUUUUUUUUUUUUUGAAAAGUAUAAAUUUUAAAAAUAUGGAUAUGUUUGAACUAGCAAAUUAAUACCUAUAAAGUACAAGCUAACGCAACUUGGAGGCUCCUUCUUUCUUUUAUUUAUUUAUUAAAUACUAUAUUUACAUAGUAUAGCCGUGCGGCUGUACUAUAUUUUUCUUUUUGAAAAAUAGUCUAGCCGGGCGGCUAUACUUUUUUGGGACACGUGGCGCCUAAUCGCUGGAGGCUCCUUUUUUUUUUAAGACCAAAAAAUAGUACAGCCGCACGGCUAUACCCGGUGUUUUUAAAAAGUCCACACGUGGCGCCUUUUUAUAUUAAAAAUAGUAUAGCCGCACGGCGAUACUCAGUUCUUGUUUUUUUUUUAAAAUUUUUUGAAAUUUUUUUAUUUUAUGAAAAGGUAGGCUACACCCUUUAAGUAGCAUGGUAUGUAUUUCACUUUUUUAAUUACUUUGAUUAGUAAAGGAGAAAAAGAAGAAGAGAAAUUGAAUUACUAUUCAUUAAGUAAUAUAAUUCAUGAAGUUAAUUAAAAUAUUUAAUCAUAAUCAGUCAAUAAAUAAAUAAUAAUUAAAAUAUAAUUGCUAAUUCAACUACUUAAAUCUCCAAAUAUAUUAUGUAGUUACUAAAAAUAGAAUUUUUAAAAAUUAAUUAACCUAAACAUCCUAAGUUUAUACUUAUUUUUAAAAAUGAAGACCUCUCCCGACGAAAUUUCGUCGGCAAAGAUAUUUUCGUCGGGAGAAACCUAAUCCGGCAAAUUUUGGUCGGCAUAGAUCUUUGCCGACGAAAUUUCGUCGGAAGAAGUGUUCAUGUGUUUUUUUUUUUUUUUUGAAAAGUAUAAAUUUUAAAAAUAUGGAUGUGUUUGAACUAGCAAAUUAAUACCUAUAAAGUACAAGCUAAUGCAACUUGGAGGGUCCUUCUUUCUUUAUUUAUUUAUUAAAUACUAUAUUUACAUAGUAUAGCCGUGCGGCUGUACUAUAUUUUUCUUUUUGAACAAUCGUCUAGCCGGGCGGCUAUACUUUUUUGGGACACGUGGCGCCUAAUCGCUGGAGGCUCCUUUUUUUUUAAGACCCAAAAAUAGUACAGCCGCACGGCUAUACCCGGUGUUUUUAAAAAGUCGACACGUGGCGCAUUUUUAUAUAAAAAUAGUAUAGCCGCACGGCUAUACCCGGUGUUUUUUAAAAAGUCGACACGUGGCGCCUUUUUAUAUUAAAAAUAGUAUAGCCGCACGGCUAUACUAAGUUUUUGUUUUUUUUUUUGUUUUUGUUUUUUUUUUAAUGAAAAGGUAGGCUACACCCUUUAAGUAGCAUGGUAUGUAUUUCACUUUUUUAAUUACUUUGAUUAGUAAAUGAGAAAAAGAAGAAGAGAAAUUGAAUUACUAUUCAUUAAGUAAUAUAAUUCAUGAAGUUAAUUAAAAUAUUUAAUCAUAAUCAGUCAAUAAAUAAAUAAUAAUUAAAAUAUAAUUGCUAAUUCAACUAAUUAAAUCUCCAAAUAUAUUAUGUAGUUACUAAAAAUAAAAUUUUUAAAAAUUAAUUAACCUAAACAUCCUAAGUUUAUACUUAUUUUUAAAAAUGAAGACCUCUCCCGACGAAAGUUCGUCGGCAAAGAUAUUUUCGUCGGGGGAAACCUAAUCCGGCAAAUUUUGUCGGCAUAGAUCUUUGCCGACGAAAUUUCGUCGGGAGAAGUGCUCAUGUGUUUUUUUUUGUUUUGAAAAGUAUAAAUUUUAAAAAUAUGGAUAUGUUUCAACUAGCAAAUUAAUACCUAUAAAGUACAAGCUAAUGCAACUUGGAGGGUCCUUCUUUCUUUUAUUUAUUUAUUAAAUACUAUAUUUACAUAGUAUAGCCGUGCGGCUGUACUAUAUUUUUCUUUUUGAAAAAUAAUCUAGCCGGGCGGCUAUACUUUUUUGGGACACGUGGCGCCAAAUCGCUGGAGGCUCCUUUUUUUUAAGACCAAAAAAUAGUACAGCCGCACGGCUAUACCCGGUGUUUUUAAAAAGUCGACACGUGGCGCCUUUUUAUAUUAAAAAUAGUAUAGCCGCACGGCUAUACGUAGUUUUUGUUUUGUUUUUUUUUAAUUUUUUUUAAUUUUUUUUAAUUUUAUGAAAAGGUAGGCUACACCCUUUAAGUAGUAUAGCCGCAUGGCUCCAAACUGUUGGGGGAAUUUUUUUAUAUUAAAAAUAGUAUAGCCGCCCGGCUGUACGCAGUUUUGAAAUUUUUAAAAGAAAUACAUGUUUUGACACGUGGCUCUAAAUGGUUUGGGGACCUUUUUUAUAUUAAAAAUAGUAUAGGCGCACGGCUAUACUCAGUUUUGAAAUUUUUUAAGAAAGACAUGUGUUGACACGUGGCUCCAAAUGGUUGGGGGACUGUUUUUAUAUUAAAAGUAGUAUAGCCGCACGGCUAUACUCAGUUUUGAAAUUUUUUUAGAAAGAAUUGUUUUGGCGCGUGGCUCCAAAUGGUUGGGGGCACAGUUUUGAAAUUUUUUUAAGAAAGACAUGUGUUGACACAUGGCUCCAAACUGUUGGGGGAAUUUUUUUAUAUUAAAAAUAGUAUAGCCGCCCGGCUGUACUCAGUUUUGAAAUUUUUAAAAGAAAUACAUGUUUUGACACGUGGCUCUAAAUGGUUUGGGGACCUUUUUUAUAUUAAAAAUAGUGUAGCCGCCCGGCUAUACUCAGUUUUGAAAUUUUUUAAAAAAAUACAUGUUUGACACGUGGCUCCAAAUGGUUGGGGGACUUUUUUGAGUUAAAAAUAGUAUAGCCGCCCGGCUGUACUCAGUUUUUUUAAUUAAAAAAUAUAUAGUAUAGGCAAGAGGCGUUAAUGGUUUUUCUUUAUUUUAAAAAUUGAAUUUAAUAAAUAGUAUAGACUAGCGGCUAUAGUCUUUUAGAUAUGUAUUUACAUAUAAAUAUAUACAUAUAUACACGUAUUUUUCAACAAUAUAUUCGUGUUAUAUACACGUCUCACAUUUUCUUUAAAAAGCAAACAUACAAUAGUCGUAUUUCUAAUAUUUUAUGCAUAUUUUUUACAAAAUUUUCAACAACACACAAAAAUUCAAAUUAGUUAAUUAUUUAAAUUAAAAUUUUCACGUACUUUUUACAAAAUUUUAAGUAACACACACAAAUUCACAUAUUAUACAAAUAAUUCUCAUAUAUUAUUGAAUAAGAAUAACA
RNAcentral lists this long non-coding RNA (29386 nucleotides) under Prunus persica (peach). RNAcentral's name for it is "long non-coding RNA (PPER_LNC008422)". Lineage: Eukaryota; Viridiplantae; Streptophyta; Magnoliopsida; Rosales; Rosaceae. The record is from RNAcentral.